RNAcentral lists this long non-coding RNA (984 nucleotides) under Homo sapiens (human). Its description in RNAcentral is "MIR663A host gene". Lineage: Eukaryota; Metazoa; Chordata; Mammalia; Primates; Hominidae. The record is from RNAcentral.
GCCGAGGGGCUACCGUUCUGCCUCCGACCGGUCGUGUGUGGGUUUACUCGGAGGUGCUUUGCCUCUGAAGAAAAGAGAAAUACUAGGCUUUAGAAUUUCACCAUAUGAAUUUUGGGAGAGAGGAGCACAGUUCAGCCCAUAACUAACACACGUGAUGAAGAAGACAUGCCAACAGAGGGUUAAUUCCAGAUAAAAUGAAAUGUUCCAAACAACGGAAUGAAGUUGAUAAUAGUGAGACCUUGUUGGUACAAGACUAUGUAACAUAACCUGCGCUUCUCAACAAAGAAUUGCUUUUCUGACUUCUGCACUCAAUAGCAAGACAAAUCUCUCCUCUGCCUUCUCCUUAUCAGACUACUCAACAUGAAGGCAAUAAGAAUGAAGACCUCUAUGUAUAAUAAUUGACUUCCACUUAAUAAAUACCUGAACAGAUGUUGAGUACAAGCUGAUCCACCUACGUUCAACCUGAGAGAGUCCACAUCCACAGACUGUUUCAUUUCCCUUUUUCAAUUUACAUAGAAGCAUAGAUUCUUGCUGGCAUAUACAAAUGCGCCAUUUAAGGCAAUCAAAAAUGGUUCCACAUCUCAUCUGAUUUCCACAAUUGUUGCUGUAACGAUGGACUACUGAGGAGAGAGACAAUUUCUCUGGCACAUCUUCCCACAUUUUAGCAACAUGUUCAUGGAGAGCCAAUAUUCAGUAAUUACAGCCCAAUUCCUCACAAUUUCACAAUUCGCUAACAAUAUGCAUUUUCACAAUGUAAAGCUGAUUUUCCUUUAACCAAAUCAAACAUGAAAAGAUAGCUGCAUGCAAUGGGCAAUCUAGAUCAUUAGAAGAUUGAUGUAAAAUUAGAGGACACUGAGACUGGAAUAGAUUGCAAACUUCAGGGAGCUCAGAAAACUUGUAAACUCUACAUUUUGAGGAAAUAUGUUGUCGAUGCUUUUGCAACUCUAUGCAGUAACUUAACAAAUAAAGCCUUAAAGUAACUUA